This 465-nucleotide ribosomal RNA is filed under the name Vreelandella stevensii. RNAcentral's name for it is "partial 16S ribosomal RNA". It matches the Rfam family "Bacterial small subunit ribosomal RNA", at positions 338 to 795 of the family's 1533-position model. Lineage: Bacteria; Pseudomonadati; Pseudomonadota; Gammaproteobacteria; Oceanospirillales; Halomonadaceae. The record is from RNAcentral.
CCUACGGGUGGCUGCAGUGGGGAAUAUUGGACAAUGGGCGAAAGCCUGAUCCAGCCAUGCCGCGUGUGUGAAGAAGGCCUUCGGGUUGUAAAGCACUUUCAGUGGGGAAGAAAGCCUUGGGGCUAAUACCCUCGAGGAAGGACAUCACCCACAGAAGAAGCACCGGCUAACUCCGUGCCAGCAGCCGCGGUAAUACGGAGGGUGCGAGCGUUAAUCGGAAUUACUGGGCGUAAAGCGCGCGUAGGCGGUCUGAUAAGCCGGUUGUGAAAGCCCCGGGCUCAACCUGGGAACGGCAUCCGGAACUGGCAAGCUAGAGUACAGGAGAGGAAGGUAGAAUUCCCGGUGUAGCGGUGAAAUGCGUAGAGAUCGGGAGGAAUACCAGUGGCGAAGGCAGCCAUCUGGACUGACACUGACGCUGAGGUGCGAAAGCGUGGGUAGCAAACAGGAUUAGAUACCCUAGUAGUC